AGUCUCAGCUCAGCGCACAACCAGUCAACGCAAUCUCACUGCACUGCUCUGUCUGCCCAGCCAGGUGAGCCAGACAUUCACGACUCACUCACAGGAAAAUCUGCUGCUGGAAAGAGGGAGGUGCAGCCAAAAGAACUACAAGACAUAGAUUAAAAAGCUCUAGCAGCUACUACUAUAUUUUGCGUACACCUCAGACCAGUAGCAACAGGCAGACUUCCUCGGCUUCCCAAAACAUCGCCGGCUGCUGCAGCCAUGAAAAGAGGUGCUCACAAAUAUGAACAAACCCACAAGAAUGGGGACAGAGAAUCGUCACGCUCCAAAACCUGCCGUCAGCUCAGUUCAGACAGAUGUGGAAGGCCAACAGCACAGUACUCAGUGACUUUUAGUCUUCUGAAACCACAAAUUUCUCUAGGAUGAGGAGGCAGAACAACACAGAAAUUCCAGUUCUUAAAAAUUAAAUUCAAAACUAACCUGAUGUUAAGCUCAGCCCAAGCAGACACCUUGAAAGGAGAAAGCAGCAAUGAAUGAAACAAAGCAACGCCACAAGUUUUAAUUCCACGUUGACGUACGCCACGUUGGGUAGCGGGCCAUAAACCUGCCUACCUCAGCAGGACCCCGGCGUCUCCCCUCUGCACACUGCAGAUCGCAUCCAGUAGCUCUUCUGCAGUGGU
Molecule: long non-coding RNA, 671 nt
Organism: Centrocercus urophasianus (Greater sage-grouse)
Lineage: Eukaryota; Metazoa; Chordata; Aves; Galliformes; Phasianidae
Exons: 3
Source: RefSeq, a predicted model, not a curated record